This 279-nucleotide ribosomal RNA is filed under the name uncultured bacterium. RNAcentral describes it as "partial 16S ribosomal RNA". It matches the Rfam family "Bacterial small subunit ribosomal RNA", at positions 506 to 784 of the family's 1533-position model. The record is from RNAcentral.
UGCCAGCCGCCGCGGUAACACGGAGGGUGCAAGCGUUGUCCGGAAUUACUGGGUUUAAAGGGUGCGUAGGCGGCGCAAUAAGUCAGAAGUGAAAGCUCACGGCUCAACCGUGGAAUUGCUUUUGAUACUGUUGUGCUUGAAUUAGGUUGAGGUUGGCGGAAUGAGUCAUGUAGCGGUGAAAUGCAUAGAUAUGACUUAGAACACCGAUUGCGAAGGCAGCCGGCUGGACCUUAAUUGACGCUGAGGCACGAAAGCGUGGGGAGCGAACAGGAUUAGAUA